UAGGGAAUCUUCCGCAAUGGGCGAAAGCCUGACGGAGCAACGCCGCGUGAGUGAUGAAGGUCUUCGGAUCGUAAAACUCUGUUAUUAGGGAAGACCAAAUGUGUAAGUAACUAUGCACGUCUUGACGGUACCUAAUCAGAAAGCCACGGCUAACUACGUGCCAGCAGCCGCGGUAAUACGUAGGUGGCAAGCGUUAUCCGGAAUUAUUGGGCGUAAAGCGCGCGUAGGCGGUUUUUUAAGUCUGAUGUGAAAGCCCACGGCUCAACCGUGGAGGGUCAUUGGAAACUGGAAAACUUGAGUGCAGAAGAGGAAAGUGGGAUUCCAUGUGUAGCGGUGAAAUGCGCAGAGAUAUGGAGGAACACCAGUGGCGAAGGCGACUUUCUGGUCUGUAACUGACGCUGAUGUGCGAAAGCGUGGGGAUCAAACAGG
Molecule: ribosomal RNA, 429 nt
Filed under: Actinomycetes bacterium
Lineage: Bacteria; Bacillati; Actinomycetota; Actinomycetes
Description: Actinobacteria bacterium partial 16S ribosomal RNA
Rfam family: Bacterial small subunit ribosomal RNA
Source: RNAcentral